CGGUGUUUAACUGGCGUGAUGUGGGACGUCCUACCGGUGGGCUUAGCCUCGCGAGGGGCGGCCCAACUAAUAUCCCGUCGCGGUGCUCUUUACUGAGUGUCGAGUCGGGCCGGUACGUUUACUUUGAACAAAUUAGAGUGCUUAAAGCAGGCUAUCCUCGCCUGAAUACUGCGUGCAUGGAAUAAUGGAAUAGGACCUCGGUUCUAUUUUGUUGGUUUUCGGAACCCCGAGGUAAUGAUUAAUAGGGACAGAUGGGGGCAUUCGUAUUGCGACGUUAGAGGUGAAAUUCUUGGAUCGUCGCAAGACGGACAGAAGCGAAAGCAUUUGCCAAAAAUGUUUUCAUUAAUCAAGAACGAAAGUUAGAGGUUCGAAGGCGAUCAGAUACCGCCCUAGUUCUAACCAUAAACGAUGCCAGCUAGCGAUCCGCCGAAGUUCCUCCGAUGACUCGGCGGGCAGCUUCCGGGAAACCAAAGCUUUUGGGUUCCGGGGGAAGUAUGGUUGCAAAGCUGAAACUUAAAGGAAUUGACGGAAGGGCACCACCAGGAGUGGAGCCUGCGGCUUAAUUUGACUCAACACGGGAAACCUCACCAGGCCCAGACACCGGAAGGAUUGACAGAUUGAUAGCUCUUUCUUGAUUCGGUGGGGUGGGUGGUGCAUGGCCGUUCUUAGUUGGUGGAGCGAUUUGUCUGGUUAAUUCCGAUAACGAACGAGACUCUAGCCUGCUAAAUAGGCGUACCUUAUGGUAUCGCGAAGGCCCCCGGCUUCGGCCGGUGGGUUUUUACUACCAACGUACAAACAAAUCUUCUUAGAGGGACAGGCGG
RNAcentral lists this ribosomal RNA (821 nucleotides) under uncultured eukaryote. RNAcentral describes it as "SSU rRNA". It matches the Rfam family "Eukaryotic small subunit ribosomal RNA", at positions 629 to 1426 of the family's 1831-position model. The record is from RNAcentral.